CAGUACGGCCAUGCCACCCUGAACGUGCCUGAGCUCGUCUGAUCUCGGAAGCUAAGCAGGGCUGGGCCUGGUUAGUACCUGGAUGGGAGAAAAAUGAAAAACUAACAUUGGACAAU
This 116-nucleotide ribosomal RNA is filed under the name Ochotona princeps (American pika). The record is from RNAcentral. Lineage: Eukaryota; Metazoa; Chordata; Mammalia; Lagomorpha; Ochotonidae.